AACGGGUGGUGUAGCAAUACAUCAUUAGUGGCGAACGGGUGAGGGAUAUAUGGGUAAUCUACCCUUUAGACUGGGAUAAGCCUUCGAAAGGAGGUCUAAUACCGGAUACGCUCUUGGGAUCGCAUGAUCUCGAGAGGAAAGUUUUUUCGCUAAAGGAAGAGCCCAUAUCUGAUUAGCUAGUUGGUGGGGUAAAGGCCUACCAAGGCUACGAUCAGUAGCUGGUCUGAGAGGAUGGUCAGCCGCACUGGGACUGAGACACGGCCCAGACUCC
RNAcentral lists this ribosomal RNA (271 nucleotides) under uncultured bacterium. RNAcentral's name for it is "partial 16S ribosomal RNA". It matches the Rfam family "Bacterial small subunit ribosomal RNA", at positions 65 to 339 of the family's 1533-position model. The record is from RNAcentral.